AUGAACGCUGGCGGCGUGCCUCAUACAUGCAAGUCGAGCGAACAGACGAGGAGCUUGCUCCUCUGACGUUAGCGGCGGACGGGUGAGUAACACGUGGAUAACCUACCUAUAAGACUGGGAUAACUUCGGGAAACCGGAGCUAAUACCGGAUAAUAUAUUGAACCGCAUGGUUCAAUAGUGAAAGACGGUUUUGCUGUCACUUAUAGAUGGAUCCGCGCCGCAUUAGCUAGUUGGUAAGGUAACGGCUUACCAAGGCGACGAUGCGUAGCCGACCUGAGAGGGUGAUCGGCCACACUGGAACUGAGACACGGUCCAGACUCCUACGGGAGGCAGCAGUAGGGAAUCUUCCGCAAUGGGCGAAAGCCUGACGGGGCAACGCCGCGUGAGUGAUGAAGGUCUUCGGAUCGUAAAACUCUGUUAUUAGGGAAGAACAAAUGUGUAAGUAACUAUGCACGUCUUGACGGUACCUAAUCAGAAAGCCACGGCUAACUACGUG
This 496-nucleotide ribosomal RNA is filed under the name uncultured bacterium. RNAcentral's name for it is "partial 16S ribosomal RNA". It matches the Rfam family "Bacterial small subunit ribosomal RNA", at positions 29 to 507 of the family's 1533-position model. The record is from RNAcentral.